UACGGAGGGUGCAAGCGUUACUCGGAAUCACUGGGCGUAAAGCGUGUGUAGGUGGCUUCAUAAGUCUGGUGUGAAAGCCCGGGGCUCAACCCCGGAAGUGCAUUGGAUACUGUGAAGCUGGAGUAUGGGAGAGGAGAGUGGAAUUCCAGGUGUAGAGGUGAAAUUCGUAGAUAUCUGGAAGAACACCAGUGGCGAAGGCGGCUCUCUGGACCAUUACUGACACUGAGACACGAAAGCGUGGGGAGCAAACAGG
This 253-nucleotide ribosomal RNA is filed under the name uncultured bacterium. RNAcentral describes it as "partial 16S ribosomal RNA". It matches the Rfam family "Bacterial small subunit ribosomal RNA", at positions 524 to 776 of the family's 1533-position model. The record is from RNAcentral.